UCAGCUUCGGGGAGGGUUGAGCGCUCACAAACAUGCUGUUGUGCUGUUAAACCACUGUACUAGGUUAGGGGAUGGUUGGGAUCCGCGGCUUACAUUUAUCCCGCCAAAUUAUGUAUGUAAAAAACUAUAUGCUUGUCCCAAGUCAGGAGCCUGUAAGUCAGUGGUUGUUGUGUGUUGCUGUGUUACUGAGGCCAAAUAAAAAUAUAUGUGUGGUUCCAGUAACCCUACC
RNAcentral lists this long non-coding RNA (229 nucleotides) under Mytilus galloprovincialis (Mediterranean mussel). The record is from RNAcentral. Lineage: Eukaryota; Metazoa; Mollusca; Bivalvia; Mytilida; Mytilidae.